GUGCCAGCAGCCGCGGUAAUACGAAGGGUGCAAGCGUUACUCGGAAUUACUGGGCGUAAAGCGUGCGUAGGUGGUCGUUUAAGUCCGUUGUGAAAGCCCUGGGCUCAACCUGGGAACUGCAGUGGAUACUGGGCGACUAGAGUGUGGUAGAGGGUAGCGGAAUUCCUGGUGUAGCAGUGAAAUGCGUAGAGAUCAGGAGGAACAUCCAUGGCGAAGGCAGCUACCUGGACCAACACUGACGCUGAGGCACGAAAGCGUGGGGAGCAAACAGGAUUAGAUACCCUGGUAGUCCACGCCCUAAGCGAUGCGAACUGGAUGUUGGGUGCAAUUUGGCACGCAGUAUCGAAGCUAACGCGUUAAGUUCGCCGCCUGGGGAGUACGGUCGCAAGACUGAAACUCAAAGGAAUUGACGGGGGCCCGCACAAGCGGUGGAGUAUGUGGUUUAAUUCGAUGCAACGCGAAGAACCUUACCUGGCCUUG
This 480-nucleotide ribosomal RNA is filed under the name uncultured bacterium. RNAcentral describes it as "bacterial SSU rRNA". It matches the Rfam family "Bacterial small subunit ribosomal RNA", at positions 505 to 983 of the family's 1533-position model. RNAcentral also lists the same sequence under 1 other name. The record is from RNAcentral.